RNAcentral lists this ribosomal RNA (311 nucleotides) under uncultured bacterium. RNAcentral's name for it is "bacterial SSU rRNA". It matches the Rfam family "Bacterial small subunit ribosomal RNA", at positions 28 to 334 of the family's 1533-position model. The record is from RNAcentral.
GAUGAACGCUAGCGGCAGGCCUAACACAUGCAAGUCGAGGGGCACAUUUUUAUAGCAAUAUAAAAGAUGGCGACCGGCGCACGGGUGCGUAACGCGUAUGUAACCUACCUUAAACAGGGGGAUAACACCGAGAAAUUGGUACUAAUACCCCAUAAUACUAUUAGAGGCAUCUCUGAUGGUUGAAAGUUCCGGCGGUUUAAGAUGGACAUGCGUUGUAUUAGUUAGUUGGUGAGGUAACGGCUCACCAAGACGACGAUACAUAGGGGGACUGAGAGGUUAACCCCCCACAUUGGUACUGAGACACGGACCAA